Molecule: small RNA, 251 nt
Filed under: Arabidopsis thaliana (thale cress)
Lineage: Eukaryota; Viridiplantae; Streptophyta; Magnoliopsida; Brassicales; Brassicaceae
Description: ATSL287720
Source: RNAcentral
UAAAAAUUAAAUCAUAUGAGAACUAAUACGCAAUUGCACCAUUAAACCAUUCUUCUUAAUUUUGAAAGUCAUUUUCCUCGAUGUAUACUUAACUAAGUGUUUUAUUUUCUCCCUCUUAGUAUGUGUAUAUAUAUAGUACGGUGUUGUCAUCUUCAUCGAUCAACUUCAAUAAUAAAUUUUAGUACAUCCUUAGCUAAACCAGUACUAUACCAAAAUUCAAGAGUCAAUUUUUUUGCUUUUUUAAAUAGAAG